GAUGAACGCUGGCGGCGUGCCUAAUACAUGCAAGUCGAGCGAACAGACGAGGAGCUUGCUCCUCUGACGUUAGCGGCGGACGGGUGAGUAACACGUGGAUAACCUACCUAUAAGACUGGGAUAACUUCGGGAAACCGGAGCUAAUACCGGAUAAUAUAUUGAACCGCAUGGUUCAAUAGUGAAAGACGGUUUUGCUGCCACUUAUAGAUGGAUCCGCGCCGCAUUAGCUAGUUGGUAAGGUAACGGCUUACCAAGGCAACGAUGCGUAGCCGACCUGAGAGGGUGAUCGGCCACACUGGAACUGAGACACGGUCCAGACUCCUACGGGAGGCAGCAGUAGGGAAUCUUCCGCAAUGGGCGAAAGCCUGACGGAGCAACGCCGCGUGAGUGAUGAAGGUCUUCGGAUCGUAAAACUCUGUUAUUAGGGAAGAACAAAUGUGUAAGUAACUAUGCACGUCUUGACGGUACCUAAUCAGAAGGCCACGGCUAACUACGUG
Molecule: ribosomal RNA, 497 nt
Filed under: uncultured bacterium
Lineage: Bacteria
Description: partial 16S ribosomal RNA
Rfam family: Bacterial small subunit ribosomal RNA
Source: RNAcentral